RNAcentral lists this ribosomal RNA (504 nucleotides) under uncultured bacterium. RNAcentral's name for it is "bacterial SSU rRNA". It matches the Rfam family "Bacterial small subunit ribosomal RNA", at positions 8 to 507 of the family's 1533-position model. The record is from RNAcentral.
AGAGUUUGAUCAUGGCUCAGAUUGACCGCUGGCGGCAUGCUUUACACAUGCAAGUCGAACGGCAGCGCGGGGGCAACCCUGGCGGCGAGUGGCGAACGGGUGAGUAAUGCAUCGGAACGUAUCCUGUAAUGGGGGAUAACGUAGCGAAAGUUACGCUAAUACCGCAUACGCUCGAGAGAGGAAAGUGGGGGAUCGCAAGACCUCACGUUAUAGGAGCGGCCGAUGUCCGAUUAGCUAGUUGGUGGGUAAAGGCCUACCAAGGCGACGAUCGGUAGCUGGUCUGAGAGGAUGAUCAGCCACACUGGGACUGAGACACGGCCCAGACUCCUACGGGAGGCAGCAGUGGGGAAUUUUGGACAAUGGGCGAAAGCCUGAUCCAGCCAUGCCGCGUGCGGGAAGAAGGCCUUCGGGUUGUAAACCGCUUUAGUCCGGGAAAAAGGGGUGCGAGGAUAAUACCCUCGUGCUUUGAUGGUACUGGAAGAAUAAGCACCGGCUAACUACGUG